This 814-nucleotide ribosomal RNA is filed under the name uncultured bacterium. Its description in RNAcentral is "bacterial SSU rRNA". It matches the Rfam family "Bacterial small subunit ribosomal RNA", at positions 1 to 807 of the family's 1533-position model. The record is from RNAcentral.
UAGAGUUUGAUCCUGGCUCAGAACGAACGCUGGCGGCGCGUCUUAAGCAUGCAAGUCGAACGGCAUGAGGAAUGCUUGCAUUCCCCAGAGAGUGGCGGACUGGUGAGUAACACGUGGGUGACCUACCCUUGAGAUGGGGAUAGCCAUUAGAAAUAGUGGAUAAUACCGAAUACGCUCUACGGACUCUGGUUUGUAGAGGAAACAGGCUACGGCCUGGCUCGAGGAUGGGCCCGCGUCCCAUUAGCUAGUUGGUGAGGUAAGAGCCCACCAAGGCGACGAUGGGUAUCCGGCCUGAGAGGGUGUACGGACACAUUGGGACUGAGAUACGGCCCAAACUCCUACGGGAGGCAGCAGCUAAGAAUAUUCCGCAAUGGACGAAAGUCUGACGGAGCGACGCCGCGUGGAUGACGAAGGCCGAAAGGUUGUAAAAUCCUUUUGCUGAUGAAGAAUAAGCGUGGUAGGGAAUGACCGCGUGAUGACAUUAGUCGGUGAAUAAGCCCCGGCUAACUACGUGCCAGCAGCCGCGGUAACACGUAGGGGGCAAGCGUUGUUCGGAAUUAUUGGGCGUAAAGGGCAUGUAGGCGGUUUGGUAAGCCUGAUGUGAAAUCCUGCAGCUUAACUGUAGAACUGCAUUGGGUACUGCCGAACUUGAAUCACUGAGGGGAAACUAGAAUUCCAGGUGUAGGGGUGGAAUCUGUAGAUAUCUGGAAGAAUACCGGUGGCGAAGGCGGGUUUCUAGCAGAUGAUUGACGCUGAGGUGCGAAAGUGCGGGGAGCGAACAGGAUUAGAUACCCUGGUAGUCCGCACCGUAAAC